AAGCUAGGGGAGCGAGGCUGCAUUGACUUGGGGAUCCCUCUAUCUAGCACAGUGAGAGAAGUGAUGGCAAUGUCUAGAAGGAGAAAACAUCGCCAGGCAGCGCUAAACAGUGUUGAAGAAGCAAUUAAAAACGCAAGAAUGCAGCUGAGAGGAAAUGAGGUAGAUGUGGCCCUAUGGAAAGGGAAAAACAGUAGCUAUUGUAAAAGUUUCUCGACCAAAGAAACAUGGGCGCAGAUCCGCACUUCGAAACCAAUGAUGGAGGGAUUCAAAGAGAUAUGGUUCAAAGCUGCAACUCCAAAAUAUGCUUUUAUCACAUGGCUAGUGGUUAAAAACAGAGUAGCAACAGGGGAGAGAAUGUUGACUUGGAAGCAGAAUGCAAACUCAAGUUGUGUGUUCUGUGGGGUACCUAUAGAAACAAGAGAGCAUCUGUUUUUCAUGUGCCCGUACUCGAAGACAAUUUGGAAAGAAUUGGUUCUGGGGCUACUGUUGGAUAAGUUCUCGGAACAUUGGCAAGAGAUCAUGAAGAUUAUUAAAGGGGAGGGCUUUGACAAGACAAAGACUUUCUUGCUAAGGUACACGUUUCAAAACUCUAUUCACUCAAUAUGGAAUGAGAGGAAUAGAAGGAGACACGGUGAACAGCCUUUACCAACAGAGAUACUCGUCAAGUUAAUUGAUAAAAAUGUCCGUAAUCGGUUGAGCACAAUGGAAGGGAGAGGAGCCUCAAGCGGACUCCAAACUUGGUUUGCAUCAAGGAUCUAGAGAAGACUUUGUUUGCUUUUUAAUGU
RNAcentral lists this long non-coding RNA (785 nucleotides) under Arabidopsis lyrata. RNAcentral describes it as "long non-coding RNA (ALYR_LNC001144)". The record is from RNAcentral. Lineage: Eukaryota; Viridiplantae; Streptophyta; Magnoliopsida; Brassicales; Brassicaceae.